Molecule: ribosomal RNA, 425 nt
Filed under: uncultured bacterium
Lineage: Bacteria
Description: partial 16S ribosomal RNA
Rfam family: Bacterial small subunit ribosomal RNA
Source: RNAcentral
GUGAGGAAUAUUGGACAAUGGGCGCAAGCCUGAUCCAGCCAUGCCGCGUGAGUGAUGAAGGCCUUAGGGUUGUAAAGCUCUUUUGUCCGGGAAGAUAAUGACUGUACCGGAAGAAUAAGCCCCGGCUAACUUCGUGCCAGCAGCCGCGGUAAUACGAAGGGGGCUAGCGUUGUUCGGAAUCACUGGGCGUAAAGCGCACGUAGGCGGACCAUUAAGUCAGGGGUGAAAGCCUGGAGCUCAACUCCAGAACUGCCUUUGAUACUGAUGGUCUCGAGUAUGGAAGAGGUUGGUGGAACUGCGAGUGUAGAGGUGAAAUUCGUAGAUAUUCGCAAGAACACCGGUGGCGAAGGCGGCCAACUGGUCCAUUACUGACGCUGAGGUGCGAAAGCGUGGGGAGCAAACAGGAUUAGAAACCCGAGUAGUCC